RNAcentral lists this ribosomal RNA (253 nucleotides) under uncultured bacterium. RNAcentral's name for it is "partial 16S ribosomal RNA". It matches the Rfam family "Bacterial small subunit ribosomal RNA", at positions 524 to 776 of the family's 1533-position model. The record is from RNAcentral.
UACAGAGGUCCCAAGCGUUGUUCGGAUUCACUGGGCGUAAAGGGUGCGUAGGUGGUCGGGUAAGUCUGAUGUGAAAUCUCCGAGCUCAACUCGGAAAUGGCAUUGGAUACUACUUGGCUAGAGGGUUGGAGGGGGGACUGGAAUACUUGGUGUAGCAGUGAAAUGCGUAGAUAUCAAGUGGAACACCAGUGGCGAAGGCGAGUCCCUGGACAACUCCUGACACUGAGGCACGAAAGCUAGGGGAGCAAACGGG